GACUUCGCGGCCGCGCGUAUCGACGCGGAUGGCCGAGCCGACCGCGUCCAUGACAUCGAUCGA
Molecule: small RNA, 63 nt
Filed under: Sinorhizobium meliloti 2011
Lineage: Bacteria; Pseudomonadati; Pseudomonadota; Alphaproteobacteria; Hyphomicrobiales; Rhizobiaceae
Description: putative ncRNA
Source: RNAcentral